This 27-nucleotide non-coding RNA is filed under the name Bombyx mori (domestic silkworm). The record is from RNAcentral. Lineage: Eukaryota; Metazoa; Arthropoda; Insecta; Lepidoptera; Bombycidae.
UCUGCGGUGAGUCGAGACUGAGCUUGA